This 307-nucleotide ribosomal RNA is filed under the name uncultured bacterium. RNAcentral's name for it is "bacterial SSU rRNA". It matches the Rfam family "Bacterial small subunit ribosomal RNA", at positions 32 to 318 of the family's 1533-position model. The record is from RNAcentral.
AAUCAACGCUGGCGGCGUGCCUCAGACAUGCAAGUCGAACGCUGCUGUUCGCCUUCGGGUGGACAGCGGAGUGGCGCACGGGUGAGUAACACGUAGGUAAUCUACCUUUGGGUGGGGAAUAACAGCCGGAAACGGCUGCUAAUACCGCAUAAUGCAGCGGCAUCACAUGAUGACAGUUGUUAAAGCGAGGGAUCGUAAGACCUCGCGCCUGAAGAGGAGCCUGCGGCAGAUUAGGUAGUUGGUGAGGUAAUGGCUCACCAAGCCUGCGAUCUGGUAACCGCUGAGAGGGCGGUCGGUCACACUGACA